Molecule: ribosomal RNA, 58 nt
Filed under: Aspergillus niger
Lineage: Eukaryota; Fungi; Ascomycota; Eurotiomycetes; Eurotiales; Aspergillaceae
Description: partial 28S ribosomal RNA
Rfam family: Eukaryotic large subunit ribosomal RNA
Source: RNAcentral
GACAUCUCGGAUCAGGUAGGGAUACCCGCUGAACUUAAGCAUAUCAAUAAGCGGAGGA